RNAcentral lists this ribosomal RNA (253 nucleotides) under uncultured bacterium. RNAcentral's name for it is "partial 16S ribosomal RNA". It matches the Rfam family "Bacterial small subunit ribosomal RNA", at positions 524 to 776 of the family's 1533-position model. The record is from RNAcentral.
UACGAAGGGGGCUAGCGUUGUUCGGAUUUACUGGGCGUAAAGCGCACGUAGGCGGACUCUUAAGUCGGUGGUGAAAUCCUGGAGCUCAACUCCAGAACUGCCUUCGAUACUGGGAGUCUCGAGUCCGGGAGAGGUGAGUGGAACUGCGAGUGUAGAGGUGAAAUUCGUAGAUAUUCGCAAGAACACCAGUGGCGAAGGCGGCUCACUGGCCAUGUCCUGACGCUCAGGGGCGAAAGCGUGGGGAGCAAACCGG